Pongo abelii (Sumatran orangutan) is the source of this 2187-nucleotide long non-coding RNA. The record is from Ensembl. Lineage: Eukaryota; Metazoa; Chordata; Mammalia; Primates; Hominidae.
ACCGCUCGGCGCAGCUGAGGGCGGCGACCAGCGCUGCGAAUGACAGCCCCUCCGGCGCCGGCCCACCCCGCGCCGCGCGCGUGACCCCGCCUGUGCGCAGGCGCGCCCGUCGCCCGGCCGGUAGCUAGGGAGGCCCAGCGGUGAUCCCGAGGCCUGGUAGGCGUCGCAGCCCCGGCCCUCUAGGGGCCGACGGAGGCGUGCAGGGGAAGUUAGCUUGAGCCUGUCUCGGCAGCCGUGCACGAGAAAAAAAGGACCUUCGAGAAGAACAAGGGAGGGCAGGAGUCACCGAGUACAGGGACAUCUAUGUGGCCGCUCUGCUUUCCCGCCGUCACCUGCUGUUGACCUCCUGCCGCAUCGCGGUGUCCGGAGCCGCCUGGCCUGGAGUAUGCGCUGAGCGUCACCUAGGCAACCACCCCUGCACCUGUGGAUCAGGCUUGCACAGGAUCACAAAGAAAAAUCUGAAAUUCAAGGUCCGCUGGAGAAGAAAGAAAAUCAAAACGGCUACAAUUGGUGUUGUGUAUUAAAUAAAAUUAAAGGUACAAAGAAAGACCCAGUCAGUACUAACUACUACUGUCAAGAUCACAUUCCUCUCCCACUCCUGCACACUCCACUCUUCAAGAAGAUAAAUCCUCAACCAUCUGUUUUUCCUAGCUGGUCACACAGACAAAAUACCAAAUUGUUUUCUAGCUCCAAUACUGGAUGUUCCCACAGCUACAGCUGGGAGCUUGGAACAGCCACUGUCUUCCUGUGAGUAGAUUUGUGUGUUCCGGGCACCCUGUUACACCAUCCUCCCAAGUACUGGGUGGUUGGUUCAUGCUUCCGAGUUAAGUAAAACAUAAGGCUUAACAGGGUCACAGGGACCAGCCAUGUAAUGGCAAAUCUCUGCUAUUUUCAAGAAAUCAUGUACAGGAAAUGCUAUUAAGGUGUUACUAAAGAAGGUGAAUCAUUAAUAAAAACAAAGUAGAUCUGCUUUGCUUGCCUGAGGAGAAAAAUGUUUUUAAAGGAAUCCAUGUAUGAAUCAGCUAAUCCCUGCCCAAGCAAACAUUCAUAAUAAAAUAAUGAUAGUAAUAAUAAUAACUGUUAGCCAGCAUUUAACUGCCAACCAAGGAUUUUCAUGCAUAUCUUUUUAACCCCCACAACAAUCUUAUGUGGUCGGUAUUAUUACCCUCAUUUUAUAACUUGAGCUCAGACAGGUUCAUUAACUUGCUUAACAACUUUUCAGCCAACUUCUCAGACUGUAAAACUCUGAUCUGUGCUCCUAAUCACUUUAACCAAGAGCCCUCAACAGGGCUAACAACAUUCUUGUCUCCCAGGCAAAGCUGAGUCAGAACACAUGCACAUGGCCCUCAAGUAUAUAAUUUGAUAAAACUUUUCCCAUAGAUUUAGCCCAGGCCCAAGAAUUUUGGCAAAGAGUAGAGGUGAUUUCAAGACAAAGAAGUAGGCUGGGCUUAGUGGCUCACACCUGUAAUCCUAACACUUUGGGAAGCCGAGGCUGGGGGAUCUCUUGAGCUCAGGAGUUUGAGACCAGCCUGGGCAACAUGGCAAAAUCCCAUGUCUAUAAAAAAUAUAAAAAUUAGCCAGGUGGUGGUACAUGCCUGUAGUCCCAGCUACUCAGGAGGGUGACAUGGGAAAAUCACCUGAGCCUGGGAAGUUGAGGUUGAAGUGUCCAUGAUUGCACCACUGCACUCCAGCCUGGGCAUCAGAGUGAGCCCCUGUCUCAAAAAAAAAAAAGACAUAGCUAGUCAAGAACACAGUAAAUCCAGAGACCCACCAAUCCUGCCCCCUACUAGAAACAUAUAAGUAAUGUUCAGGCCAGGUACAGUGGCUCACACCUAUAGUCCUAGCACUGUGGGAGGCUGAGGUGGGUGGAUCACUUUGAGCCCAGGAGUUCAAGACCAGCCUGGUCAACAUGUUGAAACUCCAUCUCUCCAAAAAAAAAAAAAGUUAGUCGGGCCUGGUGGCUCAUGCCUGUAGUCUCAGCUACUUGGGAGGCUGAGGUUGGAGGAUUGCUUGAGCCUGGAAAACAGAGGUUGCAGUGAGCCCAGAUAGUACCACUGCACUCCAGCCUGGGCAAGAGAGUGAGACCCUGUUUUAAAAAUAAAUAAAUAAAUAAAUAAAUAAAUAAUGUUCGGUAGUCUCUUUUCACGCCUGCCUCACCCAAAUGGAAUUCAAAUAGUUUAUCCUCAU